This is a long non-coding RNA of Gymnodraco acuticeps, 788 nucleotides long. RefSeq lists it as uncharacterized. The record is from RefSeq and is a predicted model, not a curated record. The transcript has 3 exons. NCBI's taxonomy places the organism in Eukaryota, Metazoa, Chordata, Actinopteri, Perciformes, Bathydraconidae.
AUGUUGUUUUCCUUUGACUAAUAGCUUAACAAAUUCAAGGUCAAUUGUCAAAUUGAUGCCUCAGCAAUUAACUGAUUAACCCUUAAAGCAUUUGAAAACAAUAGUAAGCUCAAAGAUAUCAAAGAGGGAGAAGUACACACCCCUAAUGUGACCUCCACAAAACACGUGAUUAAAUCAAGCCCGAUGUCAUCAUUCAUCAAACAAUGCUGUGCUCUUUACGCGGUCAUAUCACUUGUUGACUGAAUACACUGAUUGGUGACGUCAGCCAUUGCUCUGUAUUCUUUGUAAAUAAUGCCAUUGUGAGGGAAUUCAUGUUUUCUUGUGUUUGUUGCCUUGUUGUUUACAGAUGGGCAGUCAGUACCAGCGCUCAGUACCUCUAGAGGUGAGGGGAGAGCAGAGGGAGAGAGGGUCCGGACCAAGCAUCCAGACAAGAUACCGAUCAUUGUGGAGAAGUCCCCGAGGUCACGCGCCCCUGAACUGGACAAGAAGAAAUACCUGGUGCCCUCAGAUUUAACAGGAGCACCAUGAAGAGGACCUGUUUCUCUACCUGACCUACAGUAAUGAGAGUGUGUACGGUGCCUGAGUGAGGACAAAAGACUGGAGAAAGAGAGAGAGAGAGAACGAGGCUGUCUGAGAAAUAAAGAGUUAAGGCUGUUUGUAAUGCUUCACACCACUAUUAUUCUCUAUUAGUUUUGAUAAGUAACUACAUGGUGAAAGAAAGGCUUGGCACAGGGCAGACGUUGUCGCUGGUAGGGUUUACCGUCGUCAGUAUUUCCGGGUGAGCUUAA